GCUGGGCGUGGUGGCAGGCGCCUGUAGUCCCAGCUGCUUGGGAGGCUGAGGCAGGAGAAUGGUGUGAACCCGGGAGGUGGAGCUUGCAGUGAGCUGAGAUCGCGCCACUGCACUCCAGCCUGGGUGACAAGAACAAAACUCCAUCUUUUUUUUUUUUUUUUUUUUGAGGCGGAGUCUCGCUCUGUCGCCCAGGCUGGAGUGCAGUGGCCGGAUCUCAGCUCACUGCAAGCUCUGCCUCCUGGGUUCACGCCAUUCUCCUGCCUCAG
This 266-nucleotide signal recognition particle RNA is filed under the name Macaca fascicularis (crab-eating macaque). RNAcentral's name for it is "Metazoan signal recognition particle RNA (ENSMFAG00000053113.1)". It matches the Rfam family "Metazoan signal recognition particle RNA". Rfam says of the family: The signal recognition particle (SRP) is a universally conserved ribonucleoprotein. It is involved in the co-translational targeting of proteins to membranes. Lineage: Eukaryota; Metazoa; Chordata; Mammalia; Primates; Cercopithecidae. The record is from RNAcentral.